This 611-nucleotide ribosomal RNA is filed under the name uncultured bacterium. Its description in RNAcentral is "bacterial SSU rRNA". It matches the Rfam family "Bacterial small subunit ribosomal RNA", at positions 338 to 950 of the family's 1533-position model. The record is from RNAcentral.
CCUACGGGAGGCAGCAGUGAGGAAUAUUGGACAAUGGGCGCAAGCCUGAUCCAGCCAUGCCGCGUGCAGGAUGACGGUCCUAUGGAUUGUAAACUGCUUUUGCACAGGAAGAAACAACAUUACGUGUAAUGUCUUGACGGUACUGUGAGAAUAAGGAUCGGCUAACUCCGUGCCAGCAGCCGCGGUAAUACGGAGGAUCCAAGCGUUAUCCGGAAUCAUUGGGUUUAAAGGGUCCGUAGGCGGUUUAGUAAGUCAGUGGUGAAAGCCCAUCGCUCAACGGUGGAACGGCCAUUGAUACUGCUAGACUUGAAUUAUUAGGAAGUAACUAGAAUAUGUAGUGUAGCGGUGAAAUGCUUAGAGAUUACAUGGAAUACCAAUUGCGAAGGCAGGUUACUACUAAUUGAUUGACGCUGAUGGACGAAAGCGUGGGUAGCGAACAGGAUUAGAUACCCUGGUAGUCCACGCCGUAAACGAUGGAUACUAGCUGUUGGGAGCGAUCUCAGUGGCUAAGCGAAAGUGAUAAGUAUCCCACCUGGGGAGUACGUUCGCAAGAAUGAAACUCAAAGGAAUUGACGGCUGAGACGAGCGAGGACGACGACGAGGGAGGUAGG